RNAcentral lists this ribosomal RNA (429 nucleotides) under Gemmatimonadota bacterium. RNAcentral describes it as "Gemmatimonadetes bacterium partial 16S ribosomal RNA". It matches the Rfam family "Bacterial small subunit ribosomal RNA", at positions 355 to 776 of the family's 1533-position model. Lineage: Bacteria; Pseudomonadati; Gemmatimonadota. The record is from RNAcentral.
UAGGGAAUCUUCGGCAAUGGACGAAAGUCUGACCGAGCAACGCCGCGUGAGUGAAGAAGGUUUUCGGAUCGUAAAACUCUGUUGUUAGAGAAGAACAAGGACGUUAGUAACUGAACGUCCCCUGACGGUAUCUAACCAGAAAGCCACGGCUAACUACGUGCCAGCAGCCGCGGUAAUACGUAGGUGGCAAGCGUUGUCCGGAUUUAUUGGGCGUAAAGCGAGCGCAGGCGGUUUCUUAAGUCUGAUGUGAAAGCCCCCGGCUCAACCGGGGAGGGUCAUUGGAAACUGGGAGACUUGAGUGCAGAAGAGGAGAGUGGAAUUCCAUGUGUAGCGGUGAAAUGCGUAGAUAUAUGGAGGAACACCAGUGGCGAAGGCGGCUCUCUGGUCUGUAACUGACGCUGAGGCUCGAAAGCAUGGGGAGCAAACAGG